Molecule: ribosomal RNA, 1398 nt
Filed under: uncultured bacterium
Lineage: Bacteria
Description: bacterial SSU rRNA
Rfam family: Bacterial small subunit ribosomal RNA
Source: RNAcentral
AGAGUUUGAUCCUGGCUCAGGAUGAACGCUAGCGGUAUGCUUAACACAUGCAAGUCGAGGGGCAGCGGGGUAGUGGCAACACUACCGCCGGCGACCGGCGCACGGGUGCGUAACACGUAUGCAACCUGCCUGUAACAGGGGGAUAACCCGGAGAAAUCCGGACUAAUACCCCAAGGCAAUCGGGGGAGGCAUCUCCUCCGGUUUAAAGAGACUCGGUUACAGAUGGGCAUGCGGAUGAUUAGCUAGUAGGCGGGGUAACGGCCCACCUAGGCGACGAUCAUUAGGGGUUCUGAGAGGAAGGUCCCCCACAUUGGUACUGAGACACGGACCAAACUCCUACGGGAGGCAGCAGUGAGGAAUAUUGGUCAAUGGGCGCGAGCCUGAACCAGCAACGCCGCGUGAGGGAAGACUGCCCUAUGGGUUGUAAACCUCUUUUGCGCAGGAGUAAAACUGCGGAUGUAUCCGCAUUUGCAAGUACUGUGCGAAUAAGGAUCGGCUAACUCCGUGCCAGCAGCCGCGGUAAUACGGAGGAUCCGAGCGUUAUCCGGAUUUAUUGGGUUUAAAGGGUGCGUAGGCGGGAGAUCAAGUCAGUGGUGGAAACUUGCGGCUCAACCGCGAGCCUGCCGUUGAAACUGGUUUUCUUGAGUGUGAGUGAGGUACGCGGAAUGUGUCGUGUAGCGGUGAAAUGCUUAGAUAUGACACAGAACACCGAUUGCGAAGGCAGCGUACUGGUACAUAACUGACGCUGAGGCACGAAAGCGUGGGGAUCGAACAGGAUUAGAUACCCUGGUAGUCCACGCAGUAAACGAUGAUACUAAGCUGUUUGCGAUACAGUGCAAGUGGCUAAGGGAAACCGAUAAGUAAUCCACCUGGGGAGUACGUUCGCAAGAAUGAAACUCAAAGGAAUUGACGGGGGCCCGCACAAGCGGAGGAACAUGUGGUUUAAUUCGAUGAUACGCGAGGAACCUUACCCGGGCUUGAAAUGCGGAGGAAUGGGCUGGAAACAGUCCAGCCGGCAACGGUCUCCGUGUAGGUGCUGCAUGGUUGUCGUCAGCUCGUGCCGUGAGGUGUCGGCUUAAGUGCCAUAACGAGCGCAACCCCCGCCGGCAGUUACUAACGGGUGAUGCCGAGGACUCUGCCGGGACUGCCACCGCAAGGUGCGAGGAAGGUGGGGAUGACGUCAAAUCAGCACGGCCCUUACGUCCGGGGCGACACACGUGUUACAAUGGAUGGGACAGCGAGUUGCGAGCCGGCGACGGUGAGCUAAUCUUGAAACCCGUUCUCAGUUCGGAUCCGGAGUCUGCAACCCGACUCCGUGAAGCUGGAUUCGCUAGUAAUCGCGCAUCAGCCAUGGCGCGGUGAAUACGUUCCCGGGCCUUGCACACACAACCCGUCAAG